Molecule: ribosomal RNA, 424 nt
Filed under: uncultured prokaryote
Description: bacterial SSU rRNA
Rfam family: Bacterial small subunit ribosomal RNA
Source: RNAcentral
UGGGGAAUAUUGGACAAUGGGGGCAACCCUGAUCCAGCCAUGCCGCGUGAGUGAAGAAGGCCUUAGGGUUGUAAAGCUCUUUCAGUCGUGACGAUGAUGACGGUAGCGACAGAAGAAGCCCCGGCUAACUCCGUGCCAGCAGCCGCGGUAAUACGGAGGGGGCGAGCGUUGUUCGGAUUUACUGGGCGUAAAGGGCGCGUAGGCGGGGUAUCCAGUUAGGGGUGAAAGCCCGGGGCUCAACCUCGGAACUGCCUUUAAAACUGAUACUCUAGAGUCCGGAAGAGGGUCGCGGAAUUCCCAGUGUAGAGGUGAAAUUCGUAGAUAUUCGGAAGAACACCAGUGGCGAAGGCGACUCGCUGGACAGGUAUUGACGCUGAGGUGCGAAAGCGUGGGGAGCAAACAGGAUUAGAUACCCGCGUAGUCC